RNAcentral lists this RNase P RNA (365 nucleotides) under Eubacterium sp. RNAcentral's name for it is "partial RNase P RNA component class A". It matches the Rfam family "Bacterial RNase P class A", at positions 1 to 260 of the family's 367-position model. Rfam says of the family: Ribonuclease P (RNase P) is a ubiquitous endoribonuclease, found in archaea, bacteria and eukarya as well as chloroplasts and mitochondria. Its best characterised activity is the generation of mature 5'-ends of tRNAs by cleaving the 5'-leader elements of precursor-tRNAs. Cellular RNase Ps are ribonucleoproteins. The record is from RNAcentral. Lineage: Bacteria; Bacillati; Bacillota; Clostridia; Eubacteriales; Eubacteriaceae.
UGAGCGACGCAGGUGAUCGCGUGUGCAUACACGAGGAAAGUCCGGGCUACACAGGGCAGGAUGCCGGAUAACGUCCGGUGGAGGUGACUCCCAGGAAAGUGCAACAGAAAUAAUACAGCCGGCGCUGCCUGUCGUGGAGACAACGUUUGUAUUGAUGUGUUAAUAUGACGGGUGUAUUCAGGACAGGCAGUACCGGUAAUGGUGAAAUGGCGAGGUAAGAGCUCACCGCUCCGGCGGUAACGUCGGAGGCAUAUGUAAACCCCAUCCGUAGCAAGACCAAGCAGGAGACAGUAUCUCUCUGCAACAGAACGAUCUUUCGGAACGACAGGUUUUAGACAGAUCAGUCUGUUGCGGAGAGAUGCGCC